RNAcentral lists this ribosomal RNA (254 nucleotides) under uncultured bacterium. RNAcentral describes it as "partial 16S ribosomal RNA". It matches the Rfam family "Bacterial small subunit ribosomal RNA", at positions 524 to 776 of the family's 1533-position model. The record is from RNAcentral.
UACGUAGGGUGCGAGCGUUGUCCGGAAUUAUUGGGCGUAAAGAGCUUGUAGGUGGUUUGUCGCGUCUGCUGUGAAAAUCCGAGGCUCAACCUCGGACUUGCAGUGGGUACGGGCAGACUAGAGUGUGGUAGGGGAGACUGGAAUUCCUGGGUGUAGCGGUGGAAUGCGCAGAUAUCAGGAGGAACACCGAUGGCGAAGGCAGGUCUCUGGGCCGAUACUGACGCUGAGGAGCGAAAGCGUGGGGAGCAAACAGG